CCUACGGGCGGCAGCAGUGGGGAAUAUUGGACAAUGGGGGCAACCCUGAUCCAGCCAUGCCGCGUGUGUGAAGAAGGCCCUCGGGUUGUAAAGCACUUUCAGUGAGGAAGAACGCCUGGUGGUUAAUACCCAUCAGGAAAGACAUCACUCACAGAAGAAGCACCGGCUAACUCCGUGCCAGCAGCCGCGGUAAUACGGAGGGUGCGAGCGUUAAUCGGAAUUACUGGGCGUAAAGCGCGCGUAGGUGGCUUGAUAAGCCGGUUGUGAAAGCCCCGGGCUCAACCUGGGAACGGCAUCCGGAGCUGUCAAGCUAGAGUGCAGGAGAGGAAGGUAGAAUUCCCGGUGUAGCGGUGAAAUGCGUAGAGAUCGGGAGGAAUACCAGUGGCGAAGGCGGCCUUCUGGACUGACACUGACACUGAGGUGCGAAAGCGUGGGUAGCAAACAGGAUUAGAUACCCCUGUAGUC
RNAcentral lists this ribosomal RNA (465 nucleotides) under Vreelandella stevensii. RNAcentral's name for it is "partial 16S ribosomal RNA". It matches the Rfam family "Bacterial small subunit ribosomal RNA", at positions 338 to 795 of the family's 1533-position model. Lineage: Bacteria; Pseudomonadati; Pseudomonadota; Gammaproteobacteria; Oceanospirillales; Halomonadaceae. The record is from RNAcentral.